UGGUGAUGAUGGCAGAGAGGUCACACCCGUUCCCAUACCGAACACGGAAGUUAAGCUCUCUAGCGCCGAUGGUAGUUGGGACCUUGUCCCUGUGAGAGUAGGACAUCGCCAAGCA
This 115-nucleotide ribosomal RNA is filed under the name Bacillus cereus MC118. The record is from RNAcentral. Lineage: Bacteria; Bacillati; Bacillota; Bacilli; Caryophanales; Bacillaceae.